This 75-nucleotide transfer RNA is filed under the name Acidobacteriota bacterium. Its description in RNAcentral is "Acidobacteria bacterium tRNA-Met". It matches the Rfam family "tRNA". Rfam says of the family: Transfer RNA (tRNA) molecules are approximately 80 nucleotides in length. Their secondary structure includes four short double-helical elements and three loops (D, anti-codon, and T loops). The record is from RNAcentral. Lineage: Bacteria; Pseudomonadati; Acidobacteriota. RNAcentral also lists the same sequence under 1 other name.
GGCGGGGUAGCUCAGUGGUAGAGCGAGGGUCUCAUAAUCCCUAGGCCGAGAGUUCGAUUCUCUCCCCCGCUACCA